CUACCCUACGGGAGGCAGCAGUGGGGAAUAUUGCACAAUGGGGAAACCCUGAUGCAGCGACGCCGCGUGAGUGAAGAAGUGCCUCGGCACGUAAAGCUCUAUCAGCAGGGAAGAAAAUGACGGUACCUGACCAAGAAGCCCCGGCUAACUACGUGCCAGCAGCCGCGGUAAUACGUAGGGGGCAAGCGUUAUCCGGAUUUACUGGGUGUAAAGGGAGCGUAGACGGUCCUGCAAGCCAGAUGUGAAAGCCCGGGGCUCAACCCCGGAACUGCAUUUGGUACUGUAAG
This 287-nucleotide ribosomal RNA is filed under the name uncultured bacterium. Its description in RNAcentral is "partial 16S ribosomal RNA". It matches the Rfam family "Bacterial small subunit ribosomal RNA", at positions 333 to 639 of the family's 1533-position model. The record is from RNAcentral.